GAAGCUGCCUGCCUGCCGCUCAAAAUCAAAUUAGAGCAAAUGCGAAGUACUUGAAGGAAAUGCGCUGCAAGCACAGGAAACCGGAAGAAGGAAGAGCAGACGGAGGAGCCAGGGUGACCCGCAGGCGGAGGCAGGGAGGCAAAGAGACAAAGAGAGGAAGCGCCGGCGACAGAGAAAGAGACAGAGAGAAGGAGCCAGUUGAGAUACAGAUGGAGAGCAAGGAUAUCCCGAAGGAGCGAGUAGGAGAGCGUUGUCCAUGUUGGCGGCGAAUUUAAUCAUUCGCCUUGCUCUCGCUCCUUCGUCCUGGGUGUGCGAGUGUGUGCACAUCAAAAACUAAACACGUCAAAUUUCCCGUUGUCGCCUGCACUUCUAUUUGACUUGAAGGAGCAAGAGAGAGAGGCAAAUAGAGAGAGAGAGAGAGGGAGACAGGGAGAGAUCCUUUCGCUCUCUCUCUUUACUCGCGGCGACAUCAAAGGGCGUUAUAAUUCGGAAUUAUGCAAAGCUUAUCAAACGUGGACGCAUUGUGGCGUUUACAAGCGGAAAUAAUGAAAAAUAGCGCGAGAC
Long non-coding RNA from Drosophila kikkawai, 564 nucleotides. RefSeq lists it as uncharacterized. The record is from RefSeq and is a predicted model, not a curated record. Lineage: Eukaryota; Metazoa; Arthropoda; Insecta; Diptera; Drosophilidae.